UACGAAGGGGGCUAGCGUUGUUCGGAAUUACUGGGCGUAAAGGGCGCGUAGGCGGUGUGUCAAGUCUGGCGUGAAAGCCCCGGGCUCAACCUGGGAACCGCGCUUGAGACUGGCACGCUCGAGUUCGGGAGAGGAUGGUGGAAUUCCCAGUGUAGAGGUGAAAUUCGUAGAUAUUGGGAAGAACACCGAUGGCGAAGGCAGCCAUCUGGACCGACACUGACGCUGAGGCGCGAAAGCGUGGGGAGCAAACAGG
RNAcentral lists this ribosomal RNA (253 nucleotides) under uncultured bacterium. RNAcentral's name for it is "partial 16S ribosomal RNA". It matches the Rfam family "Bacterial small subunit ribosomal RNA", at positions 524 to 776 of the family's 1533-position model. The record is from RNAcentral.